UGUUUAUGCAUUUGGAGCUAUACUUAGUAGCUGCUUAAUAAACACUUAGCUGCAUCCAAGCCAGUUAAAGUUUGCAUGAAUAUUGUUAACAAAGAAACCGUAUUCACUCUAAAAGCUUUUAUGAAGACUUGCACAAUGUUAGAAGUUUGUUAUUUCAUUUUUAAAUUGCCUGUUGUGCUUCUGCUUCUUACGCGCCUUGUCACCUUUGAGGAUUUCUGGAUCUCACUUUUCUUGUGGUAGGUAAGAAAGGGGAAGGAGGAUUGUUAUGUAAUGAAUGAAUAGCUGCUGUUUACAAAUCACUUCCAUGUGCUGUUUUAACGGCAUGGUGUGUAGUGCAUACAGUAAGAAAUACUGGAGCGGAAGAUCUGCCUGCUCUCAAGGAUUUCCAAAUCAAUCCCUUAGUUUCUUAGAGAAGAUAAUAAAUUUAGAUAAGACAAUUGCUAUAAGAUUUAAAUGAAAGUAUGUAAUCUGACCAGACAUGAUAGUUUGGGAGGAUACAUCA
RNAcentral lists this long non-coding RNA (502 nucleotides) under Bos taurus (domestic cattle). RNAcentral describes it as "long non-coding RNA NONBTAT016901". The record is from RNAcentral. Lineage: Eukaryota; Metazoa; Chordata; Mammalia; Artiodactyla; Bovidae.